AUUUUCUUAGUAUAUUGUACAGGCGACUUCCAAUCACCAAGACCUGGUCAUAAUCCAGGAGAAAAUA
RNAcentral lists this transfer RNA (67 nucleotides) under Hyperolius marmoratus (marbled rush frog). RNAcentral describes it as "tRNA-Gly". Lineage: Eukaryota; Metazoa; Chordata; Amphibia; Anura; Hyperoliidae. The record is from RNAcentral.